Heterocephalus glaber (naked mole-rat) is the source of this 473-nucleotide long non-coding RNA. The record is from Ensembl. Lineage: Eukaryota; Metazoa; Chordata; Mammalia; Rodentia; Bathyergidae.
GUGGGACUUCCGGUCUCUAUAGAGCCCUAAGGAUAUGAAUUCGGCCCGCAGCCUUCGCUUCAAAUGGGUUCCUCUCCGUUUGAGCCACCAGAUGAGAGUGCAGCCCAGCCGGCAUGUGGAUUACAGCCUGUCAGGAAAGACUUCAGAAAGGAAGUGAGAACUGAGCUGGGGCUGGAGGCCAGGAAGGCAAUGGAGGGAAAGAGUGAGGAGAAAGUCACCACGCAGAGGCAAAAGCAUGUGGAGACACAGAGGCCGAGGUGAAAGAGCAUUGGAGGUGAAGGGAGCUCUGCACAUGUUGGAGGAGAAGCAGCUGGCGCGGAAUAGCCUGUGAGCCUCCAAUACAUGUCUGGGGCUGGCAGGAAACUUUUGAACCUUCUCCUUCUACCUCCUUCGCCCAGCUAACAGAGCCUUGAGUGUGUACUAGGCACCUUGCAAGCACCAGGGAUUCAGUGGUGACCAACAGUAGUGCAGCC